Molecule: ribosomal RNA, 324 nt
Filed under: uncultured eukaryote
Lineage: Eukaryota
Description: partial 18S ribosomal RNA
Rfam family: Eukaryotic small subunit ribosomal RNA
Source: RNAcentral
CCCUUGGAUGCUCUGGGCCGCACGCGCGCUACACUGGUCGAUGCAACGAGUUUCUUUCCUUGGCCGACAGGCCUGGGCAAUCUUUGAACAUCGAUCGUGAUCGGGAUAGAUUCUUGUAAUUUUUGAUCUUAAACGAGGAAUUCCUAGUAAACGCAAGUCAUCAGCUUGCAUUGAUUACGUCCCUGCCCUUUGUACACACCGCCCGUCGCACCUACCGAUUGAAUGGUCCGGUGAAAUCUCCGGACUGGCGUGAGUCGGAGCAAUCUGACAAACGCCGGAAAGUUGAUUAAACCUUACCAUUUAGAGGAAGGUGAAGUCGUAACA